GGGCAUUUGGCACAGUGGUAGCGCGCACGCUUCGCAUCUCAUGGCAUUGCGUGAGGUCGAGAGUUCAAUCCUCUCAAUGUCCA
Non-coding RNA from Mycena floridula, 83 nucleotides. NCBI's taxonomy places the organism in Eukaryota, Fungi, Basidiomycota, Agaricomycetes, Agaricales, Mycenaceae. The record is from the annotation of a GenBank genome assembly.